RNAcentral lists this long non-coding RNA (236 nucleotides) under Lathyrus oleraceus (garden pea). Its description in RNAcentral is "Pisum sativum (pea) long non-coding RNA (PSAT_LNC024709)". The record is from RNAcentral. Lineage: Eukaryota; Viridiplantae; Streptophyta; Magnoliopsida; Fabales; Fabaceae.
AAAAUGUGAUAAAAAUAAAAUAAAAUAAAAUAAAAUAAAUAAAUGAAAAAAGGUAAAAUAAAAAAAACCAUGGGUUGCCUCCCAAGCAACGCUUGUUUAACGUCAUUAGCUUGAUGAUCGAAAUUUAUACACCUGUAGUAGUAGGAAUUGGUGGAUCAAUCAGAGUGUGGCUUGAGUAGUCUGUUGGAAUGUCUCCUCCUUCGUAGAGCUUCAGUCUUUGUCCAUUUACAAUGAAU